GAACAAGUCCUCUUCCAUGGAACUUCUGUCAAGGGUAUUAGCAUUUACAUCAACUAAUCGUGCAUCAAUGAUAUUAUCCACGAAAAGACGAUACUUCCUCAUCAUGUUCCCAUAACCCCCUCCAGAGAAAUGACCCCCAACACUUAAGGUAGGGCAAACUCCAGCAAGAAAAGCAUUGACUUUGCUUGCUUUGCCAAUACCGUAGUAAAGUUCCCCGAAAGUUGCAGCAGCUUGAACCCAUGCUGUCUCAUUGGCAAUAUCU
RNAcentral lists this unclassified non-coding RNA (262 nucleotides) under Hevea brasiliensis (rubber tree). The record is from RNAcentral. Lineage: Eukaryota; Viridiplantae; Streptophyta; Magnoliopsida; Malpighiales; Euphorbiaceae.